CAGCAGCAGCCGCGGUAAUACGGAGGGAGCUAGCGUUGUUCGGAAUUACUGGGCGUAAAGCGCGCGUAGGCGGUUACUCAAGUCAGAGGUGAAAGCCCGGGGCUCAACCCCGGAACUGCCUUUGAAACUAGGUGACUAGAAUCUUGGAGAGGUCAGUGGAAUUCCGAGUGUAGAGGUGAAAUUCGUAGAUAUUCGGAGGAACACCAGUGGCGAAGGCGGCUCACUGGUCCAUUACUGACGCUGAGGUGCGAAAGCGUGGGGAGCAAACAGGAUUAGAUACCCCUGUAGUCCCUGUCUCUUAUAC
This 304-nucleotide ribosomal RNA is filed under the name uncultured bacterium. RNAcentral describes it as "partial 16S ribosomal RNA". It matches the Rfam family "Bacterial small subunit ribosomal RNA", at positions 506 to 807 of the family's 1533-position model. The record is from RNAcentral.